Molecule: ribosomal RNA, 511 nt
Filed under: uncultured bacterium
Lineage: Bacteria
Description: partial 16S ribosomal RNA
Rfam family: Bacterial small subunit ribosomal RNA
Source: RNAcentral
GAUGAACGCUGGCGGCGUGCCUAAUACAUGCAAGUCGAACGAAACUUCUUUAUCACCGAGUGCUUGCACUCACCGAUAAAGAGUUGAGUGGCGAACGGGUGAGUAACACGUGGGCAACCUGCCCAAAAGAGGGGGAUAACACUUGGAAACAGGUGCUAAUACCGCAUAACCAUAGUUACCGCAUGGUAACUAUGUAAAAGGUGGCUAUACUACCGCUUUUGGAUGGGCCCGCGGCGCAUUAGCUAGUUGGUAGGGUAAAGGCUUACCAAGGCAAUGAUGCGUAGCCGAAUUGAGAGGUUGAUCGGCCACAUUGGGACUGAGACACGGCCCAAACUCCUACGGGGGCAGCAGUAGGGAAUCUUCCACAAUGGGCGAAAGCCUGAUGGAGCAACGCCGCGUGGGUGAAGAAGGUCUUCGGAUCGUAAAACCCUGUUGUUAGAGAAGAAAGUGCGUGAGAGUAACUGUUCACGUUUCGACGGUAUCUAACCAGAAAGCCACUGCUAACUACGUG